This 880-nucleotide ribosomal RNA is filed under the name uncultured bacterium. RNAcentral's name for it is "bacterial SSU rRNA". It matches the Rfam family "Bacterial small subunit ribosomal RNA", at positions 58 to 916 of the family's 1533-position model. The record is from RNAcentral.
CAAGUCGAACGCGAAAGGGGAGCAAUCCCUGAUUAGAGUGGCAAACGGGUGAGUAACACGUGGGUGACCUGCCUUCGAGUGGGGGAUAACCUUCCGAAAGGAGGGCUAAUACCGCAUGACAUACCGUGUUUGGAUACACGGAUAUCAAAGCCGGGGAUCGCAAGACCUGGCGCUUGGAGAGGGGCCCGCGUCCGAUUAGCUAGUUGGUGAGGUAACGGCUCACCAAGGCUCCGAUCGGUAUCCGGCCUGAGAGGGCGGACGGACACACUGGAACUGAGACACGGUCCAGACUCCUACGGGAGGCAGCAGUGGGGAAUUGUUCGCAAUGGGCGAAAGCCUGACGACGCAACGCCGCGUGGAGGAUGAAGAAUUUCGGUUCGUAAACUCCUUUCGACCGAGAUGAAUACCCACGGACCUAACACGUCUGUGGGCUGACAGUAUCGAGAGAAGAAGCCCCGGCUAACUCUGUGCCAGCAGCCGCGGUAAUACAGGGGAGGCAAGCGUUGUUCGGAAUUACUGGGCGUAAAGGGUUCGUAGGUGGCCAACUAAGUCAGACGUGAAAUCCCUCAGCUUAACUGGGGAACUGCGUCUGAUACUGGUUGGCUUGAGUGCAGGAGAGGAACGCAGAAUUCCAGGUGUAGCGGUGAAAUGCGUAGAUAUCUGGAGGAAUACCGGUGGCGAAGGCGGCGUUCUGGACUGUAACUGACACUGAGGAACGAGAGCCAGGGGAGCAAACGGGAUUAGAUACCCCGGUAGUCCUGGCCCUAAACGAUGAAUGCUUGGUGUGGCGGGUAUCGAUCCCUGCCGUGCCGAAGUUAACGCGAUAAGCAUUCCGCCUGGGGAGUACGGUCGCAAGGCUGAAACUUAAAUGAAUUGACGG